RNAcentral lists this ribosomal RNA (503 nucleotides) under uncultured bacterium. Its description in RNAcentral is "bacterial SSU rRNA". It matches the Rfam family "Bacterial small subunit ribosomal RNA", at positions 28 to 504 of the family's 1533-position model. The record is from RNAcentral.
GACGAACGCUGGCGGCGUGCUUAACACAUGCAAGUCGAACGGAGCGAAUGAAAGCUUGCUUUUAUAAGCUUAGUGGCAAACGGGUGAGUAACACGUAGACAACCUGCCGACAGGAUGGGGACAACAUUCCGAAAGGAAUGCUAAUACCGAAUGAAGUGCAGGAGAGGCAUCUCCCCUGCAUGAAAGAUGGCCUCUUUUUAUGCUAUCACCUGUUGAUGGGUCUGCGUCUGAUUAGCUGGUAGGUGAGGUAACGGCUCACCUAGGCGACGAUCAGUAGCCGGUCUGAGAGGAUGAACGGCCACAUUGGGACUGAGACACGGCCCAGACUCCUACGGGAGGCAGCAGUGGGGAAUCUUCCGCAAUGGGCGCAAGCCUGACGGAGCAACGCCGCGUGAGUGAAGAAGGUCUUCGGAUCGUAAAGCUCUGUUGAUGGGGACGAACGUGCCUAAUGCGAAUAGUAUUAGGUAAUGACGGUACCCAUCGAGGAAGCCACGGCUACUCGC